CCGUGGACCACCACCCCGCCGAACAUAGCCUGUAUCGGGAGAUCCAUCACUAUGACCAGGAGCAGGACCACUCUGGAGACCAGGAAAGCAGCAGAAUCAAUGCCAGGUGAGGAUCCAGAUGCUCUGGCCAUCUGCGUAGGAGACUGAGUGAAAAAGACAAGUCCAUAAAAGAAAAUGGAACCAGCCAAGAUGAACGGGACCCUUCCAGGUGACCAUGGCAACACCGAUUGCAUUCCGGGUGGCGAAGAGGUCCGGCUGGCAUCAUCUCUCCCACAACUCCCAGAGUGGAAGCCAUGGAUGAGCGACUAGAGAGCAGGGCCCUGAGGACAUCUGAAGGAGGAAGAAGGUAUGAGCCAAAGGACAGAAGCAGUGGGCCCAGACCAAAGGACAGAAGCAGAAGGUUCAGACCAAAAGGCUGGAAAGAAAGAUGAAACAGAAGGCUCUAGCUAACGAGCAGAAGGAGGAGACAUCAUUUCACACUCAGGGUCUAUAACUAGGAAACAGAGACUAGUGUGGUGAUUUGUUUUCCCCAUAAUCCUUUCCAUGGGUCUCCUUGUUGGCGCAGCCACAGGGACCCCCUGGGGGAUCUGAGGUAAACAACAAAUGGAUACAAAUGGUGAGAAAAAUUGGAAAUCAGACUAAGAAAUCAGACUACUAGGAACCCUGAUUUGAGUAUUUAGGAAGUCUACAUCAACAACUGAGCUGUUCGGGAGUCAGGUUGAGCCCAUGGGAAGGACAGAGUUCGAAUGUGGGUUUUUAUCCUUUAUGCAGAGAGGCAAUGAGAAACAAGCUGACUAGGCGAAUGGAGACCACAGGACUCUUCUUUGGGGAAAGAACUGAGAGGUUAGCCGGGGAUCAUGGGACACAUGUAUGUUGGGGUGGUCACAAGAAGGGAGCAAAUUUACCUAAUGUGGUAGAAGGAAGCAGGCAGAUCUCUCUAUGACCUAGAAUUCACCUCAGGAGAGGUGAGUCAGUCUUCACGGUAAGAACUACCCACUCUGUAAGGUAUCCCAGCAGGCACCUGUGAUUAGAAUUGUUAGGAAAUGGAAGCUUGAUCAUCAUUCCCAUACUGACUGUGGAAAAGUGGAAAAUUACUGCUGAGCACUUAGAAAACACUGGAACUAUUGUUUUAUUCCUGCACUUCUGUAAAAAUGUAUAUGCAUGGCCUUGGUAUCAUGAGUAGAAGGUGUUGAUGUAGGCAGUUACAUCACUAGGGGUUGACUGCAAACAUAUAAAAGUAACUUGGACUUUUCCUAUUUUGCAGAACUCGGGAGAGACAUCGGUUGUAUGUUUGAUAUUAAAAAUGUUAUGAUUUAUACGUGCA
This is a long non-coding RNA of Oncorhynchus nerka (sockeye salmon), 1324 nucleotides long. RefSeq lists it as uncharacterized. The record is from RefSeq and is a predicted model, not a curated record. The transcript has 2 exons. Lineage: Eukaryota; Metazoa; Chordata; Actinopteri; Salmoniformes; Salmonidae.